UUGACCUCGGAUCAGGUAGGAC
This 22-nucleotide ribosomal RNA is filed under the name Ophiostoma piliferum. RNAcentral describes it as "partial 28S ribosomal RNA". Lineage: Eukaryota; Fungi; Ascomycota; Sordariomycetes; Ophiostomatales; Ophiostomataceae. The record is from RNAcentral.